Molecule: transfer RNA, 67 nt
Filed under: Suncus murinus (house shrew)
Lineage: Eukaryota; Metazoa; Chordata; Mammalia; Eulipotyphla; Soricidae
Description: tRNA-Trp
Source: RNAcentral
AAGUUUAGGUUAAGCAGACCAAGGGCCUUCAAAGCCCUAAGUAAGUAAAUUAUACUUAACUUCUGCU